Molecule: ribosomal RNA, 775 nt
Filed under: uncultured Neocallimastigales
Lineage: Eukaryota; Fungi; Neocallimastigomycota; Neocallimastigomycetes; Neocallimastigales
Description: partial large subunit ribosomal RNA
Rfam family: Eukaryotic large subunit ribosomal RNA
Source: RNAcentral
GAGACUCUGUGCGCGUGCAUAUCAAUAAGCGGAGGAAAAGAAACUAACAAGGAUUCCCCUAGUAACGGCGAGUGAAGCGGGAAGAGCUCAAAUUUGAAAUCUUAAAGGGUUUCCCUUUACGAAUUGUAGUUUAAAGAAGUGUUUUCUGUUGGAGUUUCGGUAAAAGUUCUUUGGAAUAGGACAUCAUAGAGGGUGAGAAUCCCGUAUUUGACCGUUACUUUCCAGCUGUGUGAUACACUUUCAAAGAGUCGGAUUGUUUGGGAAUGCAGUCCAAGAUGGGUGGUAAAUUUCAUCUAAAGCUAAAUACUGGCGAGAGACCGAUAGCGAACAAGUACCGUGAGGGAAAGAUGAAAAGAACUUUGAAAAGAGAGUUGAAACAGUACGUGAAAUUGUCAAAAGGGAAGCGUUUGACACCAGUGUUGUUUAGUUGAAAAUCAAUUCAAUAGUUUUUGAUUCUAAGUAGUAUUGACUUCAUCAGCUUGCUGCUUUCUUCUCAGAAAUUAUUGAAUGCACUUUUCAGUUAACAAGUCAACAUCAAUUUCUUUUGUUGUAAAAGGGUAAGAGGAAGGUGGCUUGCGCUUCGGCUCAAGUGUUUAUAGCCUUUUAUCUCUGCAAUCGGAGAGAUUGAGGUCUGCAGCGUAGAUCCUUCGGGGUUAGAUACAUUGGUGCUAGCUAUAGCCUUGUAUAGACAACUUGUUGACUAUGCUCAGUCAUGUAGCUUACUCGCUGAUGCUAUUUUACCUACGCUUAGGAUGUUGACAGCAGUAUAGACUGU